RNAcentral lists this ribosomal RNA (779 nucleotides) under uncultured Neocallimastigales. Its description in RNAcentral is "partial large subunit ribosomal RNA". It matches the Rfam family "Eukaryotic large subunit ribosomal RNA", at positions 24 to 649 of the family's 3401-position model. Lineage: Eukaryota; Fungi; Neocallimastigomycota; Neocallimastigomycetes; Neocallimastigales. The record is from RNAcentral.
UACGACUACAUAUCAGGCAUAUCAAUAAGCGGAGGAAAAGAAACUAACAAGGAUUCCCUUAGUAACGGCGAGUGAAGCGGGAAGAGCUCAAAUUUGAAAUCUUCAAGGGUUCUACCUUUACGAAUUGUAGUUUAAAGAAGUGUUUUCUGUUGGAAGUUUCGGUAAAAGUUCUUUGGAAUAGGACAUCAUAGAGGGUGAGAAUCCCGUAUUUGGUUAUUCAUUCUAGCUGUGUGAUACACUUUCAAAGGGUCGGAUUGUUUGGGAAUGCAGUCCAAGAUGGGUGGUAAAUUUCAUCUAAAGCUAAAUAUUGGCGAGAGACCGAUAGCGAACAAGUACCGUGAGGGAAAGAUGAAAAGAACUUUGAAAAGAGAGUUAAACAGUACGUGAAAUUGUCAAAAGGGAAGCGUUUGACACCAGUGUUGUUUUUCUCGAAAAAUCAAUUACAAAAUGGCUUGAUUUUGUGUUGUAUUGACCUUAUCAGCUUUCUGCACUUUUUUCGAGUCUUUCUUAAUGCACUUUUUGGUUAACAAGUCAACAUCAAUUUCUUUUGUUGUAAAAGAGUAUUCGGAAGGUGGCUUUCUUUUCGGAGAAAGUGUUUAUAGCCCUAUACUUCUACAAUCGGAGAGAUUGAGGUCUGCAGCGUAGAUCCUUCGGGGUUAGAUACAUUUGUGCUAAGUUGUAGCUUUUCAUAGACAACUUGUUGACUAUGUUUAGUCAUGCGGCUUACUCGCUUAUGCUAUUUUACCUACGCUUAGGAUGUUGAGUAGCGACAUACGCAC